UGAGCAAUCUGCCCUUCACAUCGGAAUAACCAUUGGAAACGAUGGCUAAUACCGAAUAUGACUUCGGAUCGCAUGAUCUGAAGUGGAAAGCUCCGGCGGUGAAGGAUGAGCUCGCGGCCUAUCAGCUAGUUGGUGUGGGUAAUGGCCCACAAGGCGACGACGGGUAGCCGGCCUGAGAGGGUGACCGGCCACACGUGGGACUGAGACACGGCCCAGAUCCGUAACGGGG
Molecule: ribosomal RNA, 229 nt
Filed under: uncultured bacterium
Lineage: Bacteria
Description: partial 16S ribosomal RNA
Rfam family: Bacterial small subunit ribosomal RNA
Source: RNAcentral